Molecule: signal recognition particle RNA, 95 nt
Filed under: Verrucomicrobiota bacterium
Lineage: Bacteria; Pseudomonadati; Verrucomicrobiota
Description: signal recognition particle sRNA small type
Rfam family: Bacterial small signal recognition particle RNA
About the family: The signal recognition particle (SRP) is a universally conserved ribonucleoprotein involved in the co-translational targeting of proteins to membranes. Archaeal SRP consists of a 7S RNA and homologues of the eukaryotic SRP19 and SRP54 proteins.
Source: RNAcentral
CGCCAGGGGCUAUGGAUUAAGGGGAGACGAACCCCGCCAGGGCAGGAAUGCAGCAACGGCACUCUUACCUUUUCUGCCGUAGUCCUCUGGCGCUU